This 224-nucleotide unclassified non-coding RNA is filed under the name Hevea brasiliensis (rubber tree). The record is from RNAcentral. Lineage: Eukaryota; Viridiplantae; Streptophyta; Magnoliopsida; Malpighiales; Euphorbiaceae.
AUUUGGCAUCAGAGCUGUUACACAUCCUAGGGAUUUUAAGUUCUCUCCCUUACCUCUCUCGAUCCUCUCUAAUUCUAUCUUCUUCUCUCUAUCUUCCCUUUCCUUCUUGAUCUUCAUCUUCUGCCUUAUCUUCUGUUUCUCUGUCUCUCUUCUGUUGGUCUUUCCUUCACUUUCCCAUCACCAAACUUCUGCCAUCUCACCCAAAAAUUUCCUCAAAUCCUGUU